CCUACGGGUGGCAGCAGUGGGGAAUAUUGGGCAAUGGAGGCAACUCUGACCCAGCCAUGCCGCGUGAGUGAUGAAGGUAAUUUUAUUGUUAAGCCCUUUUCUUUGGAACGAAUAAAUGACGGUACCAACGGAAUAAGCUCCGGCUAACUACGUGCCAGCAGCCGCCGGAAUACGUAGGGGGCAAGCGUUGUUCGGAAUGACUGGGCGUAAAGGGUGUGUAGGUGGUUUGAUGAGUUAGAUGUGUAAUACCCAGGGCUUAACUCGGGUACUGCAUCUAAAACUGUUAGACUUGAGUACGGGAGAGGCUAGUGGAAUGCCUGGUGUAGCGGUGGAAUGCGUAGAUAUUAGGAGGAACAUCAGUGGCGAAGGCGACUAUCUGGACCGCAACUGACGCUGAGGCACGAAAGCGUGGGGAGCAAACAGGAUUAGAUACCCUGGUAGUC
RNAcentral lists this ribosomal RNA (443 nucleotides) under uncultured bacterium. RNAcentral describes it as "partial 16S ribosomal RNA". It matches the Rfam family "Bacterial small subunit ribosomal RNA", at positions 338 to 795 of the family's 1533-position model. The record is from RNAcentral.